RNAcentral lists this ribosomal RNA (781 nucleotides) under uncultured Neocallimastigales. RNAcentral describes it as "partial large subunit ribosomal RNA". It matches the Rfam family "Eukaryotic large subunit ribosomal RNA", at positions 25 to 647 of the family's 3401-position model. The record is from RNAcentral. Lineage: Eukaryota; Fungi; Neocallimastigomycota; Neocallimastigomycetes; Neocallimastigales.
ACACUGACGUCGCGACGCAUAUCAAUAAGCGGAGGAAAAGAAACUAACUAGGAUUCCCUUAGUAACGGCGAGUGAAGCGGGAAGAGCUCAAAUUUGAAAUCUUCAAGGUUCUACCUUGACGAAUUGUAGUUUAAAGAAGUGUUUUUCUGUUGGAGUUUUGGUAAAAGUUCUUUGGAAUAGGACAUCAUAGAGGGUGAGAAUCCCGUAUUUGACCAUUUCUUCCAGCUGUGUGAUACACUUUCAAUGAGUCGGAUUGUUUGGGAAUGCAGUCCAAAAUGGGUGGUAAAUUUCAUCUAAAGCUAAAUAUUGGCGAGAGACCGAUAGCGAACAAGUACCGUGAGGGAAAGAUGAAAAGAACUUUGAAAAGAGAGUUAAACAGUACGUGAAAUUGUCAAAAGGGAAGCGUUUGACACCAGUGUUGUUUUUUCCGAAAAUCAAUUACGAAUAGUUUUUGAUUUUUGAGGAGUUAUUGACUUCAUCGGCUUGCUCCUUUCUUUAUGAAACUUUCUUAAUGCACUUUUCGGUUAACAAGUCAACAUCAGUUUCUUUUGUUGUAAAAGGGUAUGAGGAAGGUGGCUUUCUUUUCGGAGAAAGUGUUUAUAGCCUUGUGCCUCUGCAAUCGGAGAGAUUGAGGUCUGCAGCGUAGAUCCUUCGGGGUUAGAUACAUUUGUGCUAAGUUAUAGCCUUUUCAUAGACAACUUGUUGACUAUGUUUAGUCUUGUAGCUUACUCGCUUAUGCUAUUUUACCUACGCUUAGGAUGUUGACGCAUGAGAUAUACGC